ACUGAACGCUGGCGGCAUGCCUUACACAUGCAAGUCGAACGGUAACAGGUCUUCGGAUGCUGACGAGUGGCGAACGGGUGAGUAAUACAUCGGAACGUGCCUAGUAGUGGGGGAUAACUACUCGAAAGAGUGGCUAAUACCGCAUGAGAUCUACGGAUGAAAGCAGGGGAUCGCAAGACCUUGUGCUACUAGAGCGGCCGAUAGCAGAUUAGGUAGUUGGUGGGAUAAAAGCUUACCAAGCCGACGAUCUGUAGCUGGUCUGAGAGGACGAUCAGCCACACUGGGACUGAGACACGGCCCAGACUCCUACGGGAGGCAGCAGUGGGGAAUUUUGAACAAUGGGCGAAAGCCUGAUCCAGCAAUGCCGCGUGCAGGAUGAAGGCCUUCGGGUUGUAAACUGCUUUUGUACGGAACGAAAAGCCCCGGGUUAAUACCCUGGGGUCAUGACGGUACCGUAAGAAUAAGCACCGGCUAACUACGUGCCAGCCGCCGCCGUAA
Molecule: ribosomal RNA, 498 nt
Filed under: uncultured bacterium
Lineage: Bacteria
Description: partial 16S ribosomal RNA
Rfam family: Bacterial small subunit ribosomal RNA
Source: RNAcentral